This 659-nucleotide long non-coding RNA is filed under the name Nicotiana tabacum (common tobacco). RNAcentral describes it as "long non-coding RNA (NTAB_LNC005687)". Lineage: Eukaryota; Viridiplantae; Streptophyta; Magnoliopsida; Solanales; Solanaceae. The record is from RNAcentral.
CAAUUAUGGGUUGAAUCGUCUAUAUAGACCUAACAAGUACUAUAUAUUUACUUAGAACUUUCCAGUUUUGAGUAAAUCCUAAAUUUUUAUUUUUAUUUUGUUUUUUACAACUGUAAUUUGGGAUUUGUAGAAGGAUUCAUAUAUGUGCAUUUGCAAUUUCAAUUUAGUUGUGUAUAACCAUAUCUUAUGGCAUGGGUGGUUAUAUUUCCUUGUUCGAUUACCUUUGGGCUCUGUAUUUUAAAUUUUCGUCAGUUUGGCGACCUAAUAUUUAUUAAUAAACUCGUGGUCGAUUUUCGUCUGGUCAUAGCUGUUUGCUGGAACUGGGGCUUAUUUUUCUUAUUUCGAUCAUAAGUUUCAAAUUAUUAAAUAUGAUAUUGCAUAUUUGUAUGUAGGUAACAUGAAAAAGAAAUCAGUUACUACGAUGAUAUGAACAAGUUGAAAAUGGUGAAAAUGGGUUUGAAAGCGAAACAGAUGGAGCAGGUGAAGGUGAUCAGGAUAUUCCAUCAAUUCUUGUGUUUGAAUUGGUCAUGAGACAAACAAAAAAAAUUGGUGAGCUAGUUGUAAUUUGUGAUAUUUGGAUCUACCUUUAUGUAUUGAAACUAUUUUUUGUCGCUUAAUUGUUGUUGCUGUAAUUUUUAUUUUGAUUCACUUCCUUUUUG